RNAcentral lists this transfer RNA (73 nucleotides) under Stegodyphus mimosarum. It matches the Rfam family "tRNA". Rfam says of the family: Transfer RNA (tRNA) molecules are approximately 80 nucleotides in length. Lineage: Eukaryota; Metazoa; Arthropoda; Arachnida; Araneae; Eresidae. The record is from Rfam by way of RNAcentral.
GCCUUCGUGGUAUAGUGGUCAGCUCGUUCGACGCGUAUUCCAGAGGUCCGUGGUUCGAAUCCCGGCGAGGGCA